Molecule: long non-coding RNA, 999 nt
Organism: Apis laboriosa (Himalayan honeybee)
Lineage: Eukaryota; Metazoa; Arthropoda; Insecta; Hymenoptera; Apidae
Exons: 4
Source: RefSeq, a predicted model, not a curated record
CUGAAAUACCGAUCUCAAAAAAAGAUCAUGUGGCGACAUCUCGACGAAAUCAAUUUUACCAACUAUCAAUCCGGCCAAAAAGUCAGAGCGAUAUGUGACAAUCGAAGAUAAAAAUCGAAAGUGUUACGACCGAAUAUUAUGAAUAACGAACAUGAAAUUGAUAUGACUCCUGUGAUUUCGCGAGAAGAUGAAAAAAAAAGUUGCAAACACGUGGUUUCACGAGAAGAUAAGAUAAGCGAGCAUGUUGCACAGCUAAUGAAAUGAUACGUUCACCUUAAAAGACAAUAAUAAAGAAAAAAAGAAUAUCCAUAAAUAACUGUACAGGCAGGAAAUUGAGAAAAAUCAGAUUUUAAAACUUUAGCAGAAAUAGCAGAUAAAAUAAGACAAAAUGUGCCCUACGUUAUGGAAAUAAUAUCGAAGAAAAUUGGCAUAUUGACAAGCUAUGGAAACAAAAGAAAAAUGUUAUCGAAGAAAUUAAAACAAUAAUCAAGGGUUUGAAAGGCAGAACAAGAGAUUUCAAUAACGAAUACAAGGAUGAUAAGUUUACCAUUAUCAUUAAAAUACUUAGAACCUCCUUAGAACAAUAUCAUAACAAAUGUGUUACAACACGUAUGUUUAUAAUCAAGAAACAAAAAACUAAAUUACCUAUCGUUCGAAUGAAGAAAGAAUCAAUGGUGAGACAAGAAUAAUAAUAUGUCGACAAGAGUUAAGCAUAUAUGUCUUUACGACAAAGUCCAGCUUAGUAGAGUUUGGUUAAGCUCUUUCAAGAGAUACUAUACCUUUUAUAAAUGCCUUUCUCAUUUAUUUUGGACUAACGGCCAACCGAAAGAGAGAAAUUUUCAAGAUAGCAUUCAACGACAACGGUUCAAGAGAUGAUGAAGAAAAAGAACAAGAUCCUUUUAUUCUAUUUAUUGAAAAAGAAAUAAUUCUGAAACAAAUUGUAUAGAAUGAAUUAAUAAAACUUAAUAACAGAUUUGAAGAAAAUAAAAACAAAACAAA